RNAcentral lists this ribosomal RNA (450 nucleotides) under uncultured Fibrobacter sp. RNAcentral's name for it is "partial 16S ribosomal RNA". It matches the Rfam family "Bacterial small subunit ribosomal RNA", at positions 341 to 792 of the family's 1533-position model. The record is from RNAcentral. Lineage: Bacteria; Pseudomonadati; Fibrobacterota; Fibrobacteria; Fibrobacterales; Fibrobacteraceae.
ACGGGAGGCAGCAGUAGGGAAUAUUGCACAAUGGGGGAAACCCUGAUGCAGCAACGCCACGUGUGGGAAGAAGCAUUUCGGUGUGUAAACCACUGUCGUGAGGGAAUAGAGCUGGAGUUGUCCAGUUGAAUGUACCUCGAAAGGAAGCACCGGCAAACUUCGUGCCAGCAGCCGCGGUAAUACGAGGGGUGCAAGCGUUGUUCGGAAUCACUGGGCGUAAAGGGAGCGCAGGCGGAGAUGCAAGCGGUCUGUACAAUCCCGGGGCCUAACCCCGGACCUGCAGACCGGACUGUUUCUCUUGGAUAGCUCAGGGGCUGGCGGAAUUCCUGGUGUAGCGGUGGAAUGCGUAGAGAUCAGGAAGAACACCGAUGGCGAAGGCAGCCAGCUGGGGGCUUAUCGACGCUCAUGCUCGAAAGUGCGGGUAGCAAACAGGAUUAGAUACCCUUGGUA